GACCUCAAAUCAGGUAGGGCUACCCGCUGAACUUAAGCAUAUCAAUAAGCGGAGGAAAAGAAACUAACAAGGAUUCCCCUAGUAGCGGCGAGCGAACCGGGACGAGCUCAAAUUUGAAAUCUGGCGCCCUCCGGGCGUCCGAGUUGUAAUCUACAGAAGCGUCUUCCGCGCCGGACCGUGUCCAAGUCCCUUGGAACAGGGUAUCAAAGAGGGUGACAAUCCCGUGCUUGACACGACGACCGGUGCUCUGUGAUGCGCUCUCCACGAGUCGAGUUGUUUGGGAAUGCAGCUCAAAACGGGUGGUAAAUUCCAUCUAAAGCUAAAUAUUGGCAAGAGACCGAUAGCGAACAAGUACCGUGAGGGAAAGAUGAAAAGCA
RNAcentral lists this ribosomal RNA (377 nucleotides) under Biatoropsis hafellneri. Its description in RNAcentral is "partial large subunit ribosomal RNA". It matches the Rfam family "Eukaryotic large subunit ribosomal RNA", at positions 1 to 373 of the family's 3401-position model. Lineage: Eukaryota; Fungi; Basidiomycota; Tremellomycetes; Tremellales; Tremellaceae. The record is from RNAcentral.